GACGUAGGGGGCGAGCGUUGUUCGGAUUUACUGGGCGUAAAGCGCGCGUAGGCGGCCAGAUAAGUUGGGUGUGAAAGCCCUCGGCUCAACCGAGGUUCCGCAUCCGAUACUGUUUGGCUUGAGUCUAGGAGAGGAGAGCGGAAUUCCCAGUGUAGCGGUGAAAUGCGUAGAUAUUGGGAGGAACAUCCGUGGCGAAGGCGGCUCUCUGGACUAGUACUGACGCUGAGGCGCGAAAGCUAGAAGAGCGAACAAA
RNAcentral lists this ribosomal RNA (253 nucleotides) under uncultured bacterium. Its description in RNAcentral is "partial 16S ribosomal RNA". It matches the Rfam family "Bacterial small subunit ribosomal RNA", at positions 524 to 776 of the family's 1533-position model. The record is from RNAcentral.